RNAcentral lists this ribosomal RNA (292 nucleotides) under uncultured bacterium. RNAcentral's name for it is "partial 16S ribosomal RNA". The record is from RNAcentral. RNAcentral also lists the same sequence under 1 other name.
GGACUACUAGGGUUUCUAAUCCUGUUUGAUCCCCACGCUUUCGUGCCUCAGCGUCAAUAAGACCAUAGUAAGCUGCCUUCGCAAUCGGUGUUCUGAGACAUAUCUAUGCAUUUCACCGCUACUUGUCUCAUUCCGCCUACCUCUAGUCCAUUCAAGCCCAUCAGUAUCAAGGGCACUGCGAUAGUUGAGCUACCGUCUUUCACCCCUGACUUAACAGGCCGCCUACGCACCCUUUAAACCCAAUAAAUCCGGAUAACGCUUGGAUCCUCCGUAUUACCGCGGCUGCUGGCAC